GAUGAAGAACGCAGCGAAAUGCGAUACGUAAUGUGAAUUGCAGAUUUCAGUGAAUCAUCGAAUCUUUGAACGCACAUUGCGCCCGCUAGUAUUCUGGCGGGCAUGCCUGUUCGAGCGUCAUUUCAACCAUCAAGCCCUAGGCUUGCGUUGGAGCCCUGCGGCUGCCGCAGGCUCCCAAAUCCAGUGGCGGGCUCGUCGUCGUACCGAGUGCAGUAAACAUCCUCGCUCAGGGAACGUGACGGGUUCUCGCCGUGAAACCCCCCACAUAUCAAGGUUGACCUCGGAUCAGGUAGGAAUACCCGCUGAACUUAAGCAUAUCAAUAAGCGGAGGA
Molecule: unclassified non-coding RNA, 332 nt
Filed under: soil metagenome
Description: partial contains 5.8S ribosomal RNA, internal transcribed spacer 2, and large subunit ribosomal RNA
Rfam family: 5.8S ribosomal RNA (bases 1-120)
Source: RNAcentral